CGGGUUCCUGAAUGAUGAGAAGCCACACCUGUGGAGCUGCAUGAGGACAUGCACCCAAGUAGCCUCAACCACAUCUGGACCUGAGACAGAAGAACAAGAGAUCCCUUCCAACUGGGCGAUCACGAAAGCUUCAGGAAAAAGUGAUACUGAGCUGGGCCUGGAAGGAUGGAAAAGCUUCACACGUGGAGGUAUUAGGAGAGAUAAUUGGGUGAAGGAGGAGAAGAUUAGCUGCGGUGAGUUGAAUACUGGGAAUUUUAGGCCCUGUGGCAUUUGGUGGGGAAGAUAUUUUGAGCAGUAAGGAUUGUGAUACAUCUCAAAUUACACCAGGCAAGUAGUUGCUUACUAUUCUGUUUAUGGGAUCAGCCCUGCCAAGGUAAUACGACCUGCAAAUGUGGAUGGAAAGGACGAGAGAGAGAGAGAGAGAGAGAGAGAGAGAGAGAGAGAGAGAGAGAGAGAGACAGAGAGAAUGCUAACUAAAUCUUCUACAUAGCUGACUGCUCAGAAAACCCAACGCAUGGGACUGUGUUCUGAAGUAACUGCCUAAGACCUUUUAUCAACAAAUCGUUUUCAGACUUUGGUAUGAUUCUAUAAUAUUUCACAGCGCUGCAAACACGGGGCAUUUCGGGACACCCCUGAGGAAUGCAGCGGCAUUCUCAGCUUUCUCUUAGAUGGCUCUGCACUUCUUACAGCCUCCUUGUGACCACAGGAGUCUGGUGAUCAUGGAGCAGUAAGCCCAGCAAAGCCUAAGAGUGGGGCUCUGGAGGGACAGGUCUGCUGUUCUUUUCGGAGAUUGAUGGAUUUGUUACAAUUAGUAACAGGUGGUUUUCCUGAAAUUCUGCAAUUAGCUCUUGAAAUAGGGAAACCUCAGAUCACAUGGGUAGGAUAUUGCUAACGAGGUGAAAACUUACCUGGGUGAUUUAAACAGGUUCCUGCUGGUUUCCUAUAAGUGAAAGUUUAAAUGAUCCUCCUUUCUCAGGAAGACCAAAAUCAAUGUCUGAUUACAGCAGAAUUCAAUGCCAUCUGCCCGAUUCUUCCAGGCUCACAAAACCCACAGAAGGCAGGAGCUCAGGUGGAUGAACCAUGGUGAACUGAUUCAGAAUGCAACUUCUCAUCUGUUUUCCAUAGAGUGUUUCCAACAGUAUAAAUCAACAAUAAUCACAGUUGCUAUGUUAGUGUUGUGCAAUGCGCUAUAGCCGAUAAAUCACUUUCACCAGCAUGUCCUAUCUAAUCUUCAUAAAAACUCAAUGAGGUGAAUACUGCUCUCCUACUUUUACAGAGGAGAAAACUGAGGCACAGGUAACUAAAGCAAGUUAUCUUAGAUCUCUUGAUGAGUGUGUAUUAGUGAUUAGGGUUUAUGUCUGGUCUUAGAAGUAGAAGUUCAUUUGUGCUCUUGAGCAAGGUCCAAAGAUGAAAGGCAGGAUUGGGAAAUUGUAGGCGAAAGGGUGAGUUGAGAGCUGCAUUGGGCAAACAUCUGAUUAUCUAGGGAAAGGCUGUACCCAGACAGGGACAAUCUUUUACCAGGUCUUCUCUUUGCUUGGGAAGGUAAUCAGUGGCAGAGACCCUCACAUCUGGGAGUAACCAAAGUUGUAUGUUCAAAUCCUUUAUUUUUUCAAAUGAGGAAGUGGAGGUUCAGUGAAGUUAGGUGGCUUGUAAAGACCCACACAACUAAUGUGAUGAAAAUGAGAUCGUUACCCAGUUUUCUACGCUUACACUGGAAUUUCUGCCACUGCAUCUUGAUGCUCUUCCUGUUUUACUCUCUCUUCUUUCACUUAGAUAGUGGAAUAAAAGUAACAAUUGCUACUAUUCAUUGAACAAUGUGCUACAUUGUGUGCUAGAUACUUCUCAUGCAUAAUUUUUCAUCUUCACAAGAACUCUGCAGUCUCUCUCUCUCUCUCUCGAUAUAAUUUUGAGACUGAGUUUUGCUGGAGUGCAGUGGUGUGAUCUUGGCUCACUCUAACCUCUGCCUCCUGGGUUCAAGCAAUUGUCCUGCCUCAACCUCCCAAAUAACUGGGAUUACAGGCACCUGCCGCCAUGCCCAGAUAAUUUUUUUUUUUUUUGGUACUUUAAGUAGAGACAGUGUUUAAUCAUGUUGGCCAGACUGGUUUUGAACUCCUGACCUCAAGUGAUCUUCCGUCCUUGGUGUCUCAAAGGGCUUGGAUCACAGGUGUGAGCCAUCACACUUGGCCUUGCAAAGUCUCUAUUUUUAUCUCUGAGGAUAUGGGGACCAGUGAUGAGGAGGGACUUACCAACACAAUUUUGAGUCCAUGCUCUUUCUGUUGUGCACUGGGGCCUCUGCAAUAAUUUAUCUCUUAUCCUAGAAAACAGAAAUAUUUGAAUUUUUUAUGUGGUCAAAUAUCAUUUUUUUGGAACUCAUUAAAAUUUAAAUUGUCUGUGUUUAUUCCUACAAGUAUAUCUGAUUAAAA
RNAcentral lists this long non-coding RNA (2423 nucleotides) under Callithrix jacchus (white-tufted-ear marmoset). RNAcentral describes it as "lncRNA (ENSCJAG00000071877.1)". Lineage: Eukaryota; Metazoa; Chordata; Mammalia; Primates; Cebidae. The record is from RNAcentral.